CCUACGGGGGGCAGCAGUGAGGAAUAUUGGUCAAUGGGCGCUAGCCUGAACCAGCCAAGUAGCGUGAAGGAUGACUGCCCUAUGGGUUGUAAACUUCUUUUAUAUGGGAAUAAAGUGCAGUAUGUAUACUGCUUUGCAUGUACCUUAUGAAUAAGGAUCGGCUAACUCCGUGCCAGCAGCCGCGGUAAUACGGAGGAUCCGAGCGUUAUCCGGAUUUAUUGGGUUUAAGGGGAGGGUAGCCGGGUUGGUAAGUCAGUGGUGAAAGUGUGGGGCUCAACCGUAAAAUUGCAGUUGAUACUGGCAGCCUUGAGUACAGUAGAGGUAGGCGGAAUUCGUGGUGUAGCGGUGAAAUGCUUAGAUAUCACGAAGAACUCCGAUUGCGAAGGCAGCCUGCUGUACUGUAACUGACGCUGAUGCUCGAAAGUGUGGGUAUCAAACAGGAUUAGAUACCCGUGUAGUC
This 460-nucleotide ribosomal RNA is filed under the name uncultured bacterium. RNAcentral describes it as "partial 16S ribosomal RNA". It matches the Rfam family "Bacterial small subunit ribosomal RNA", at positions 338 to 795 of the family's 1533-position model. The record is from RNAcentral.